UACGUAGGGGGCAAGCGUUAUCCGGAUUUACUGGGUGUAAAGGGAGCGCAGACGGAACUGCAGGUCUGAUGUGAAAGCCCGGGGCUCAACCGCGGGACUGCAUCGGAUACUGUGGAUCUGGAGUGCCGGAGGGGCAAGCGGAAUUCCUGGUGUAGCGGUGAAAUGCGUAGAUAUCAGGAGGAACACCGGCGGUGAAGGCGGCUUGCUGGACGGCAUCUGACGUUGAGGCUCGAAAGCGUGGGGAGCAAACAGGAUUAGAUA
This 261-nucleotide ribosomal RNA is filed under the name uncultured prokaryote. RNAcentral describes it as "partial 16S ribosomal RNA". It matches the Rfam family "Bacterial small subunit ribosomal RNA", at positions 524 to 784 of the family's 1533-position model. The record is from RNAcentral.